Non-coding RNA from Physcomitrium patens, 1490 nucleotides. NCBI's taxonomy places the organism in Eukaryota, Viridiplantae, Streptophyta, Bryopsida, Funariales, Funariaceae. The record is from RefSeq and is a predicted model, not a curated record.
AGCUGUACCACCCUAUCGUGACUUGAGCCGGAAAUUGGCAUCCGCGGUAUCUCUCGAGUCUCAUGACGACUUUUCUCCCUUUUCUUAAGAUUCUAGCAGCUCAACGCCCGCACGCACGUCACGAAAGCAUGGUAUACAAAAAGCUCAGGCGGAGACAGAUUCUCGGUUGUGAAAUGCAUGGAGUAGCGCCGGAGACUAUUUUAGGGGGAUCAGGGCCUCCGAAUGAAACACGCGAAAGCCGAGAACACCCUCAUGCAGUCGGAACAAAUUCCAUGGAUUGAGUGAUCAUCUGCGGCUGCUUGUAAAAAAUCUAAUCGCACAUGCACAAUUCGCAACUUAACUUUGUCACUUCCUUGUCGAGUUUGACCGGAACGUCAAUUGCAGAUCGCCUUGCCUCUCUUGCUCAAGUACAAACACACAUUACGUAACGUGGAGUUCGCAAUGCAAUAAACAGGCGGUGGACUUUUUGUUUUUGUGUUCCCCUUCAAGUACAAAUUGUACCGAAACUAACAGGGAGAAAGGACGCAUCUGUUUCGUAGGCGGGGCCGCGGAUGCUUCAUGGUGCUAAGUUUAGAACUCACCGAAGCUGUGAUACCAGCCCAUCUUCACGUCGAAGUGUGGGAUUCAAGUGUAGUUUGGCUGGAAAUAGCAUCACGAGCAUUUAUUGUGAAAUGCUUUCGGUCUAUGCCAGGUGAGUGGGAAUCUUGUUACUAUAUGGGAAUGCCAUAACGAUUUGACUAAUUUGUUCUCGAUUAAUUCAGUCAAAACGAGGGGCUCAGCUGGUGUCUGUUUUUCAUGCGUGAUUGUUAUUGUAGAAACAUGCGUGCGGCAUGAGAGAUGACAAAAAUAUGAAAUAAGCUAUUCAGGGCAAAGAUUACGAAGCUCGUUUUCAGCGACAUGUACAGCUUGAACUUAUUAAUGAUGUGAAAGAUGUCUGAUGUUGCAACAUAUUUGCAGACAAUCUGGCGCAUUCUGAAAGAAUUCCGCGAGGGACAUCCGCUCAGACCCAAGCAGUUUUAGUUUGUUUUAUUAAACUAAUUUAUUUUGCAAGUGACGUUCUCGUGGGCCUGAAUCAAACUUGCAGAGCCCAUUCUCAGCACCAAUAAUUGUAUUCAUGGUGGAUAAUACUGAAUGUUGUGUGUUUGGUAGGAAGAAGCGUCAACAGCACUGAUAAAACCUGCUGUCUACAUGUGAAACUCCCAUGGUACCCAAACCCGCAUCAACGUAUUUACCCAGCGAUUUUCAUGGCCCAAUUUCACAAAGAGCUUGACACAACCUCAGGUGGCGGGAAGAGCUUGAAAGGCGAGGUCCGAGCAAGUUUCCGGGACAGAGCCACUACCCUGCAAUGCCGUGAACGAAACGCUUAGUGACCUUCAGCGAUAUUUGCGGCAUGAAACCCUGACUGCGCAUGUGACGCACCCAAAAAACUGUAUACAAGUGGGGAGAUGGCUCAAUAAAGUUGCAAACCUACAGGAUUGUUUUUUUAUUAA